This 798-nucleotide ribosomal RNA is filed under the name uncultured bacterium. RNAcentral's name for it is "bacterial SSU rRNA". It matches the Rfam family "Bacterial small subunit ribosomal RNA", at positions 8 to 796 of the family's 1533-position model. The record is from RNAcentral.
AGAGUUUGAUCAUGGCUCAGAUUGAACGCUGGCGGCAUGCUUUACACAUGCAAGUCGAACGGUAACGCGGGGGCAACCCUGGCGACGAGUGGCGAACGGGUGAGUAAUACAUCGGAACAUGUCCUGGAGUGGGGGGAUAGCUCGGCGAAAGCCGGAUUAAUACCGCAUACGCUCUGAGGAGGAAAGCGGGGGACCCGGUAACGGGCCUCGCGCUGCAGGAGUGGCCGAUGUCGGAUUAGCUAGUUGGUGAGGUAAAGGCUCACCAAGGCGACGAUCCGUAGCUGGUCUGAGAGGAUGAUCAGCCACACUGGGACUGAGACACGGCCCAGACUCCUACGGGAGGCAGCAGCGGGGAAUUUUGGACAAUGGGGGCAACCCUGAUCCAGCCAUGCCGCGUGAGUGAAGAAGGCCUUCGGGUUGUAAAGCUCUUUCGGACGGAACGAAAUGGUUACAGUGAAUAACUGUGAUUGAUGACGGUACCGUAAGAAGAAGCACCGGCUAACUACGUGCCAGCAGCCGCGGUAAUACGUAGGGUGCGAGCGUUAAUCGGAAUUACUGGGCGUAAAGCGUGCGCAGGCGGUUCGCCAAGUCAGGUGUGAAAUCCCCGGGCUUAACCUGGGAAUUGCGCUUGAAACUAGCGGGCUUGAGUGUGGCAGAGGGGGGUGGAAUUCCACGUGUAGCAGUGAAAUGCGUAGAGAUGUGGAGGAACACCGAUGGCGAAGGCAGCCCCCUGGGUCAACACUGACGCUCAUGCACGAAAGCGUGGGGAGCAAACAGGAUUAGAUACCCUAGUAGUCC